GGGCGGAGCCGUCUUGGCUUGUGUGACGUCUGCUCAGAGAGCCAGUCCCAGCUGCCUUGCUUGCUGCGCAUGCGCGCAUGUAUCCGGGCGUGCCGCGGUGCCGCUGCUUUCGGGACUCGGGUGUUUGCAGAGCAGGUGGGGACAGGAACGGGGUGGGGCUUGGCGUUAGUGUUUCCGCUAGAGUUUAGUCUUUGUGUAGGCUUCAUGGUGGGAGAAUUUCCUCCCGCGACAGUAGUAGCAGCGUUUUAGACUGGAAGAAAGCCCAUAAAUUGCCUUUCGGAUCCUAGCCAUCCAGAGGCAUCUUUUAAGAAGUUUCUCUCGGAAUGGGGCCUUCCCAAUCCUGUUAGAGCGCAAUGCCAUACUUUUAGAAGAUGUCAGUACUGUGGAAUGAGAUGGCCAACCAUCAUAUGUAUGCUGCAACUCAGAGAUACAGCUGUGAAUUCUCAGAAAACGGUACUGAUGGCCCUGUCGUCCAAUGCAUCCAGUGUCUGAUUUUCAUCUUGGCCAGCUAAGAGCUAUAGAGAAAAUCCCUUCUGGGAGCACCAUGAUCCCCAGGGAGCACUAUGAUACCUGGAGGCAGUAGAGGUAAGCUGGUAAGUUUGUCAAACCUACUUCAGGGACACUCCAUGUGGUCCUGGGCUGAGAUAUUUUUGAAGCUGGUGCAAGCAGCAGUGGGGAAAUGGGGGCCUAGUGGUAUGGUGGUCAUUCCAGAAAUGUAACCCCUCAGAAACGUGCUACCCAGCCUCUUAUAAGAAGGGUAAAACAAAUAAAGCUGCUGCCUAUUUGGAACAUACGCUGGCUCCUUCCACAUCUGCAGGACAUUUAGCUCCUUGCAUCUGGUAAUGUUUGUGCAAAUAUAAUUCCAUAUUCACUAAUAAUUCCUGGGGCUAAAGGCCCCCCCUCGGGUAACCUUGUUAAUAUUCUCUCAAGGCCUGGUGUGAACGCCUCAUAGCAUUUUGAUUAGAAUUCAAUCUUGUGUUUUUUUCCCUCUCUGUCUCUUUCUCCCUCUCUCCUCUCAUGCUUUUCUGGCCCCCGGUUUCCUGGCCACCCACAUCAGGAGACAUUCUCCCUCCCUUCCACUCUCCAUUCUCAGUUUCAAGGAAUUUCCUUGUGUCAAAGGCAAAGUGUGAUUGACAUAUUUUCCCCCUCUUAAGAGCAGUCAUCUCGGUGUUUGAUUUAACCAUCUCCUUAUGGGGCUCGUACAAUCAUUACCUGGGUGAAAAAGAGACCUCCUGCUCACCCUCACGCUCAGACCCACGUAGCUCAGUAUUUUUGUAGACUUUUAAAUUGCUGCUCUCCUUCCUCUUUUUUUCUACCCUUUUCUUUCUUUUUGGUUGGCACUACCAAAUGACUCCCUGGUGUGUUGUACCCUGAGCUGUAAGGGUUUUAGUUAUCCGCCAACAGGUAGACCAGCUGCCUCCUGCCAGUGCCCUCAGCCUGCCAAGAAAAGCAUUUGUUGCUCUUUAGAUCUGGGGGAAAGAAUGGAGAUAGAAUGAACUGUCUAGUUUUGAAUUCACCGCCUUUAGGCAGGUUGUUUUCCUUUGGUGCCUUAGUCUUACUUGACCGGCUUAUUUGUCACUCAGGAGAAGAAAACAGAAAACAGAAACAAAAGCAAAUUAGCCAUAGCAUGAAGAAUUGUAUUUAAACCCAAGAGGGAUUUCUUGGCAGUGAAGUUCUUAAUGUUGGAGUGAUUCUGGAAUGUAGGCCCCCUCUCUCAGGCUGCCUUAUCAUUGAAUUACUGUGGGUUCUAAGGGUUUCUGCCUGAAGGGGCUGAACUAGAUGAACUUGGAAGGUCACUUGCAGCUUUUCAGUUCAGCAGGAAUCCCCAUCUUUUCUGUGAAGGGCCACACUUCUCACAGUAUUAGAGCAGAUUCUGUCCUAAGGGGAUUGCUCAUGUCUCUCUAGAGUAGCUUGAAUCAUAUCUCCUGCCACUGAUUGUGAUAAGCUGCCUACUCAGAGCUCCCAGUUGCAGGCAACUCUGUUGCCUCACAAUAAUUGCAUUCUUCAGUAACCUCCUGUGCCCCAAUCCCAUUUUUUCAGAAGGAAACAAAGUGCUAGAAGAUAGAGCCUUGCAUUGGCAAUAACAAAGUUGAUGUUUUUUUUCCCCCUGCAGGAAUUUGAGUGAUGCAGUUUUAAUAAAAUAGAAAGCUGUCUGUA
Leopardus geoffroyi (Geoffroy's cat) is the source of this 2157-nucleotide long non-coding RNA. RefSeq lists it as uncharacterized. The record is from RefSeq and is a predicted model, not a curated record. The transcript is spliced from 4 exons. Lineage: Eukaryota; Metazoa; Chordata; Mammalia; Carnivora; Felidae.